RNAcentral lists this ribosomal RNA (157 nucleotides) under Alternaria celosiicola. RNAcentral's name for it is "5.8S ribosomal RNA". It matches the Rfam family "5.8S ribosomal RNA". Rfam says of the family: 5.8S ribosomal RNA (5.8S rRNA) is a component of the large subunit of the eukaryotic ribosome. It is transcribed by RNA polymerase I as part of the 45S precursor that also contains 18S and 28S rRNA. Functionally, it is thought that 5.8S rRNA may be involved in ribosome translocation. Lineage: Eukaryota; Fungi; Ascomycota; Dothideomycetes; Pleosporales; Pleosporaceae. The record is from RNAcentral. RNAcentral also lists the same sequence under 1 other name.
CAACUUUCAACAACGGAUCUCUUGGUUCUGGCAUCGAUGAAGAACGCAGCGAAAUGCGAUAAGUAGUGUGAAUUGCAGAAUUCAGUGAAUCAUCGAAUCUUUGAACGCACAUUGCGCCCUUUGGCAUUCCAAAGGGCAUGCCUGUUCGAGCGUCAUU